This 77-nucleotide transfer RNA is filed under the name Shigella flexneri. Its description in RNAcentral is "tRNA-Pro". It matches the Rfam family "tRNA". Rfam says of the family: Transfer RNA (tRNA) molecules are approximately 80 nucleotides in length. Their secondary structure includes four short double-helical elements and three loops (D, anti-codon, and T loops). The record is from RNAcentral. RNAcentral also lists the same sequence under 4 other names. Lineage: Bacteria; Pseudomonadati; Pseudomonadota; Gammaproteobacteria; Enterobacterales; Enterobacteriaceae.
CAGUGAUUAGCUCAGUUUGGUAGAGUGCUUGACUUGGAAUCAAGAGGCCACAGGUUCAAAUCCUGUAUCAUUGACCA